AUGUGUCAUAGAUGGACAAAUUGCUAUGUACAAAGAUGGAAAAUUAAUGUAGUCAGCUGUAAUCUCAUGUGCUCAUCUUAUCCCUUUUUCACUGUUGGAUAAGGUAUUGUUGAUUACCUCAAGUACAGAAUCAUAAACAGAUGCAUAAAAUUACUUUCUGUGUUCCACAGCUAGAAGAAGUAUAGAGAGAAAUUUUCAGAUAAAAAAAUUAAAUGUGUUUGUCAUCCAACUACUUUCAAGGCUGGAGAGAUGUUGACUUGGGUAGGUGGAUUGCAGUUUUUCAUGGAAUCUGUAGGAUUUGAGCAGGUCACAACUAUGCUGUUGUGAAUUUGGAGUUCAAGAGUUGUGCUAAUGAAACUUUUGUACUUCCAGUAGCUAAACUACCUAAUAUCCUCUACUACAACACUUGAAUCUUUUUGUGUCUAGUUCUGGACAAGUUCCUCUUAGUAAUUUUUCACUAGGUACUUGUAGGGAACUGUUAGGUCACAGCUUGAGCCGGUGAUUGAGCACCUGGUGAAGGGGUGUGGCUGGCACGGGGAGCACAGACAAAUUGUUUGCACCUGUGUUCCCAAUGUGACCAGAAGGACUGGACCCAGAGUGGAGGCACCCUGGGCUCAUAUAAGGGCCAGCCACUGAAGGGAGAGCUUUUUCUUGACCUAGGCUGCUGUUUGAGAAGGAGUGCUGCGUAACUGGAGAGCCCCUCCACCAGUUAGUAGGGGGGAAUAACACGAUAAAGAAAAGAAUUUCCUACAGACACAAAGACAUGUAAACUAUGACAGCACAGUGCUUCCCAAGCAAAGGAAAAGAAAAAACUUUGAAAGAAACUAAACAGUCUGAAUCAUGGAAAGUUGGAUGGUUAGAGCAUUCCUGGAAAAUCACUUUAUCUACAGAAGAAAGAAUGGAGUGACUUUACUGAAAUGAGACUGACCACUGUGAGGCUGCUGCAUUAUAUGCAAGGCUUGGAGGAGUAUAAGAAAAAAGCUGUUUUGGAAAAAGAUUAUACAUUUUUUGUUUUUGUUGUUUUUUCAUAAUUAAAAGCUGCAGCUUAUCCUAGAAAAUUCAGUCUUCUCUGGAAAAUACUGUUUUCAAUUAAAAAGUAAUUGCAUUUUCUCAUGAAAACAUUUUUGUCUUCAACUUUAGAGAGCAGAGUAAUAAUUUCCAAAUAAAUUCUAAGUAAUUUGCAAACCAUUUUGUAACUAACUCUGUUACUGUUAGCUCCUCUUCAUGUGUACUGAUUUAAACAGAGAUGAGGGUUGUUUGAAAGGUCUCUUUAAGCUUUGAUUAAACAACUUUGUAGUUCUGCAAUUUCAUAUAUGUUCUAAGGCUUUUUCUUGCAAUGGAUUUAGCUGUGCAGAACAUAUGGCAUUUAUAAAAGUAGACAACACAUGGACCACAUGCUGGCAUUCAUUUCCCUCAUGAAAGUGAUUUAAUUCCAUAAUUUUAAUUCUCUUUUCUUUUGCUAAACAGAUACCAAAAUGUAUCUGAUAAUCCAAAAUGAGUUUUCUAUGAUAUACUGCAGAGUUAAGCAUACUAAAAUAUAUUCAAAUUGGUUUGAUGAGGCAAAUUUUGUUGCCCAAGAUCAGGUAAUUAUUUGAAAUCUUUCCAUAGCCUGUAGCAAGAUUACUGUGGGAAUGUAAAAAUAUAAGUAUAUUGUUAAGCAUUUCUGCUUGACACUGCUUUGGUUUUAAACAGCAAAUUAUUUCAGCAUUGUAUAACUUCUGUUACCAAUGGGGUUUGCUACAGACCUCAUGUUGUUUUCCAAAAAGCAAUAUGCAAGUACUUUUUGAAUGAGGAGACAUUUCAUUUGCAAUUGUGAACCACUUGCCCGCUGAGUCUACUUCAUGACCGCUAGUUAUGUUUUAAUUGCGCCCAUUAAAAAUCAUGCUGAAAAAAAUUUACAUUUGAUAGGCAAAGUUAAGUUUUACUCCCAUACUUGUCUCUCUGUAGGUUGCUAGAGGAAAGCAUAAGGAAAGUAAGAAAACAAGAGAAUGAAAAUAGAAACUACAGUUCAGUUAAAAAGGAAACUUCAAAUAAAAUCUUGAAACAAGGUUUUAUGAGCUCUUUAUCAAAGAUUUAUUGUUCCAGUAAUACUAAAGUGAUCUUACAACUCAUCUAACAGUAAUUGCUAGAUAUUUACUGAUGAACUGCACUGUAGUUAAAAAAAAAAAAAAAAAA
This is a long non-coding RNA of Numida meleagris (helmeted guineafowl), 2175 nucleotides long. RefSeq lists it as uncharacterized. The transcript has 2 exons. The record is from RefSeq and is a predicted model, not a curated record. NCBI's taxonomy places the organism in Eukaryota, Metazoa, Chordata, Aves, Galliformes, Numididae.